UCUGCCCUGCACUUCGGGAUAAGCCUGGGAAACUGGGUCUAAUACCGGAUAGGACCCUCCUUUAGUGUGGGGGGUGGAAAGAUUUAUCGGUGCAGGAUGAGCCCGCGGCCUAUCAGCUUGUUGGUGGGGUAAUGGCCUACCAAGGCGUCGACGGGUAGCCGGCCUGAGAGGGUGGACGGCCACAUUGGGACUGAGAUACGGCCCAGACUCCUACGGGAGGCAGCAGUGGGGAAUAUUGCACAAUGGGCGGAAGCCUGAUGCAGCGACGCCGCGUGGGGGAUGACGGCCUUCGGGUUGUAAACCCCUUUCGACAGGGACGAAGUGAAAAUGACGGUACCUGUAUAAGAAGCACCGGCUAACUACGUGCCAGCAGCCGCGGUAAUACGUAGGGUGCGAGCGUUGUCCGGAAUUACUGGGCGUAAAGAGCUCGUAGGUGGUUUGUCGCGUCGUCUGUGAAAUUCCGGGGCUUAACCUCGGGCGUGCAGGCGAUACGGGCAAUACUUGAGUGCUGUAGGGGAAACUGGAAUUCCUGGUGUAGCGGUGAAAUGCGCAGAUAUCAGGAGGAACACCGAUUGCGAAUGCAGGUCUCUG
RNAcentral lists this ribosomal RNA (591 nucleotides) under uncultured bacterium. RNAcentral describes it as "bacterial SSU rRNA". It matches the Rfam family "Bacterial small subunit ribosomal RNA", at positions 125 to 731 of the family's 1533-position model. The record is from RNAcentral.